RNAcentral lists this ribosomal RNA (485 nucleotides) under uncultured bacterium. RNAcentral's name for it is "partial 16S ribosomal RNA". It matches the Rfam family "Bacterial small subunit ribosomal RNA", at positions 28 to 507 of the family's 1533-position model. The record is from RNAcentral.
GAUGAACGCUAGCUACAGGCUUAACACAUGCAAGUCGAGGGGCAGCAUGGCCUAGCAAUAGGUUGAUGGCGACCGGCGCACGGGUGAGUAACACGUAUCCAACCUGCCGAUUAUUCCGGGAUAGCCUUUCGAAAGAAAGAUUAAUACUGGAUAGCAUAACGAGAAGGCAUCUUCUUGUUAUUAAAGAAUUUCGAUAAUCGAUGGGGAUGCGUUCCAUUAGUUUGUUGGCGGGGUAACGGCCCACCAAGACAUCGAUGGAUAGGGGUUCUGAGAGGAAGGUCCCCCACAUUGGAACUGAGACACGGUCCAAACUCCUACGGGAGGCAGCAGUGAGGAAUAUUGGUCAAUGGACGAGAGUCUGAACCAGCCAAGUAGCGUGAAGGAUGACUGCCCUAUGGGUUGUAAACUUCUUUUAUAUGGGAAUAAAGUGGGCCACGUGUGGCUUUUUGUAUGUACCAUACGAAUAAGGAUCGGCUAACUCCGUG